AAGAUGUUAGUAGAAAUAUUACAAAACCUUGUCAUGGUAUAAUUAUAAGUUAAAGUCUUGUACAUCUUU
RNAcentral lists this transfer RNA (69 nucleotides) under Pseudohynobius puxiongensis (Puxiong's protohynobiid). RNAcentral describes it as "tRNA-Asp". The record is from RNAcentral. Lineage: Eukaryota; Metazoa; Chordata; Amphibia; Caudata; Hynobiidae.